GGGACAUUUAUAUGCUCUGUAAUUGGAAUGAUGGGAAUGUAAAACCCUUCCAGAGUAACAAUUGGAGGGCAAGUCUGGUGCCAGCAGCCGCGGUAAUUCCAGCUCCAAUAGUGUAUAUUAGAGUUGUUGCAGUUAAAAAGCUCGUAGUUGGAUUUCUGCUGUGGUCAUCCGGUACCGCCCGUAUGGGUGCGCACCUGGUUUGGCUCCGGCUUUCUUCCUGUAGCCGUCCGCGCUUAAUUGCGUGUACUGUGUUACGGAACUUUUACUUUGAGAAAAAUAGAGUGUUUCAAGCAGGCUUGUCGCCCUGAAUACUUCAGCAUGGAAUAAUAGGAUAGGACCUUGGUUCUAUUUUGUUGGUUUCUAGGACCAAGGUAAUGAUUAAUAGGGACAGUGGG
Molecule: ribosomal RNA, 395 nt
Filed under: Eimeria bovis
Lineage: Eukaryota; Apicomplexa; Conoidasida; Eucoccidiorida; Eimeriidae
Description: SSU rRNA
Rfam family: Eukaryotic small subunit ribosomal RNA
Source: RNAcentral